RNAcentral lists this non-coding RNA (86 nucleotides) under Arabiibacter massiliensis. RNAcentral's name for it is "Glycine riboswitch". It matches the Rfam family "Glycine riboswitch aptamer", at positions 9 to 86 of the family's 94-position model. From Rfam's summary of the family: This family represents the bacterial glycine riboswitch. Lineage: Bacteria; Bacillati; Actinomycetota; Coriobacteriia; Eggerthellales; Eggerthellaceae. The record is from RNAcentral.
GCCUCUGGAGAAUCCCAAGCGAUUGGGUGCCGAAGGGGCAAGGCGGCCGCCCGGCCAGCCGAAACUCUCAGGCCAAAGGACAGAGC